UCUAAAAUUAUUAUUUUUAUAAGGAUUUCAAGAAUCUUACAUGGUUUACUUUCUUGAACAGUGGACACUGCGAGGACUUUGCAUAGGAUUUAUCAUUUUUAUUGCUGUAAUAUGGGUUCUGCAACAACUAACAACAGUUCGCAUUCUCCGAUAUGUAAUUCUCUUCAUAGGUGUUAUGAACAGCUUGUUUUCAGUUUAUGGUACAAACUAUCCAUUCUCUAGG
This is a long non-coding RNA of Solanum tuberosum (potato), 223 nucleotides long. RefSeq lists it as uncharacterized. The transcript is spliced from 3 exons. Lineage: Eukaryota; Viridiplantae; Streptophyta; Magnoliopsida; Solanales; Solanaceae. The record is from RefSeq and is a predicted model, not a curated record.